RNAcentral lists this ribosomal RNA (273 nucleotides) under Lygodactylus intermedius. Its description in RNAcentral is "partial large subunit ribosomal RNA". It matches the Rfam family "Bacterial large subunit ribosomal RNA", at positions 2254 to 2597 of the family's 2925-position model. The record is from RNAcentral. Lineage: Eukaryota; Metazoa; Chordata; Lepidosauria; Squamata; Gekkonidae.
CACCCUAGUACAAUUUUAAGUUGGGGCAACUACGGAGCAAAACAAAACCUCCACGAAUCGCGACUAGCAGUCGCACACAAGGCACACACGCCAACACCCACAAAAGUUUGACCCAGUAAAACUGACUUCCGAACCAAGCUACCCCAGGGAUAACAGCGCUAUCCCCUUCAAGAGUCCAUAUCGCCAAGGGGGCUUACGACCUCGAUGUUGGAUCAGGACACCCCGGCGGUGCAGCCGCUGCCAAAGGCUCGUUUGUUCAACGAAUAAUGUCCU